Molecule: ribosomal RNA, 468 nt
Filed under: uncultured bacterium
Lineage: Bacteria
Description: partial 16S ribosomal RNA
Rfam family: Bacterial small subunit ribosomal RNA
Source: RNAcentral
GACGAACGCUGGCGGCGUGCUUAACACAUGCAAGUCGAACGGAAAGGCCCUGCUUUUGUGGGGUGCUCGAGUGGCGAACGGGUGAGUAACACGUGAGUAACCUGCCCUUGACUUUGGGAUAACUUCAGGAAACUGGGGCUAAUACCGGAUAGGAGCUCCUGCUGCAUGGUGGGGGUUGGAAAGUUUCGGCGGUUGGGGAUGGACUCGCGGCUUAUCAGCUUGUUGGUGGGGUAGUGGCUUACCAAGGCUUUGACGGGUAGCCGGCCUGAGAGGGUGACCGGCCACAGUGGGACUGAGAUACGGCCCAGACUCCUACGGGAGGCAGCAGUGGGGAAUAUUGCACAAUGGGCGGAAGCCUGAUGCAGCAACGCCGCGUGCGGGAUGACGGCCUUCGGGUUGUAAAACGCUUUCGCCUGUGACGAAGCGUGAGUGACGGUAAUGGGUAAAGAAGCACCGGCUAACUACGUG